UCCGGUUGUGUUAUUACUGAGUUCAGCAU
This 29-nucleotide small RNA is filed under the name Bombyx mori (domestic silkworm). Its description in RNAcentral is "piRNA piR-bmo-2069190". Lineage: Eukaryota; Metazoa; Arthropoda; Insecta; Lepidoptera; Bombycidae. The record is from RNAcentral.